This 119-nucleotide ribosomal RNA is filed under the name Lupinus angustifolius (narrow-leaved blue lupine). The record is from RNAcentral. Lineage: Eukaryota; Viridiplantae; Streptophyta; Magnoliopsida; Fabales; Fabaceae.
ACGUGCGAUCAUACCAGCACUAAUGCACCGGAUCCCAUCAGAACUCCGCAGUCAAGCGUGCUUGGGCGAGAGGAGUACUAGGAUGGGUGACCUCCUGGGAAGUCCUCGUGUUGCACCUC